AACAACCCAACUUGUUAUUUCGACAGGAUGGACAACUGAUCGCAAUGUAAUAUGUUGACUUCACUAUUCUCAAAAGACUACAACUCAAACAACAUGGUUUUGCUACCAUAGAAAGAGAAAUCAAUACAUAUCUAGUUUCAUUCCAUUGUUCUGGUGGAAGAAAAUGGUGCGGCUAUUCUUCAUUUUCAAGAGGCUUGGCAAUCUACUAAUUUUGGAGGAUAAACUUUGUUUUGAUACGAAUGACCUUGUGCUUUAUUUGGAAUUUGUGAUGAAAAAUGAUCUUGCUCAAAGCAAGAUAGGUGGAAGAAUUUGUGAUCUUAGUAUGGGCGGUGUAGGAAAUAUUACUCCCUCUUGCACUUUUUAUCAGGUAUGCAUAUUAUGUAUCAAG
Molecule: long non-coding RNA, 388 nt
Filed under: Olea europaea subsp. europaea
Lineage: Eukaryota; Viridiplantae; Streptophyta; Magnoliopsida; Lamiales; Oleaceae
Source: RNAcentral